GAUGAACGCAGGCGGCGUGCUUAACACAUGCAAGUCGAACGGAGCACCCCUGACGGAGUUUUCGGACAACUGAAGGGAAUGCUUAGUGGCGGACGGGUGAGUAACGCGUGAGUAACCUGCCUUGGAGUGGGGAAUAACAGCUGGAAACAGCUGCUAAUACCGCAUGAUGCAGUUGGGCCGCAUGGCUCUGACUGCCAAAGAUUUAUCGCUCUGAGAUGGACUCGCGUCUGAUUAGCUGGUUGGCGGGGUAACGGCCCACCAAGGCGACGAUCAGUAGCCGGACUGAGAGGUUGGCCGGCCACAUUGGGACUGAGACACGGCCCAGACUCCUACGGGAGGCAGCAGUGGGGAAUAUUGGGCAAUGGGCGCAAGCCUGACCCAGCAACGCCGCGUGAAGGAAGAAGGCUUUCGGGUUGUAAACUUCUUUUCUCAGGGACGAAUAGAUGACGGUACCUGAGGAAUAAGCCACGGCUAACUACGUGCCAGCAGCCGCGGUAAUACGUAGGUGGCAAGCGUUAUC
RNAcentral lists this ribosomal RNA (520 nucleotides) under uncultured bacterium. RNAcentral's name for it is "bacterial SSU rRNA". It matches the Rfam family "Bacterial small subunit ribosomal RNA", at positions 28 to 545 of the family's 1533-position model. The record is from RNAcentral.